RNAcentral lists this ribosomal RNA (331 nucleotides) under uncultured eukaryote. Its description in RNAcentral is "partial 18S ribosomal RNA". It matches the Rfam family "Eukaryotic small subunit ribosomal RNA", at positions 1470 to 1796 of the family's 1831-position model. The record is from RNAcentral.
CCCUUAGAUGUUCUGGGCCGCACGCGCGCUACACUGAACAUAUCAGCUUGGUUUUCCCUUCCUGAGAAGGACGGGUAAACCCCUGAGCCAUGUUCAUGGUAGGGAUUGGGGCUUGCAAUUAUUCCCCACGAACCAGGAAUUCCCAGUAGGCGCAAGUCAUAAGCUUGCGUCGAUUACGUCCCUGCCCUUUGUACACACCGCCCGUCGCUACUACCGAUUGAAUGGUUUAGUGAGACCCUCGGAUUCGUCCCAGCACAGUGGGUUUCUGCUGAGCUGGUGCGCGGAGAAGACGGUCGAACUUGAUCAUUUAGAGGAAGUAAAAGUCGUAACA